UGCCGCCGGCCGGCCGUCCGCCAGCCGGAGAGGAGCGCUCCGCCCGCGGCUGACAAAGGACGGGAGGAUGCCUGCGCCGCGGGAGGCGGGCUGCGCGCAGCCGGGCGGCCGCCUGAGCGGCUUCUCCCUCCGCCGGGAAUGUACCCAAGAGGAGUUCUGAGACAAUGUCCUCAGAUGUUCUGCUGGGAUUAAACAAGACACUGCUGUAUUUUAACUGAGCUUGGCAAAGCCAGGAUAUGAACAAUUGUGCAGGUGGGCUCCUCAGGGCGAGUGAAGAGCCACCUGCAGCCCUGCCACUAUGCCCCUCCACCAGAUUUCCGUAAUCCCCACCCGGGAGACGGCCAGCAAUGGGCGAAGUUCAGUGGGCAGAAACAAAGAGAAGAACAAGGAA
Long non-coding RNA from Balaenoptera musculus (blue whale), 391 nucleotides. RefSeq lists it as uncharacterized. The record is from RefSeq and is a predicted model, not a curated record. NCBI's taxonomy places the organism in Eukaryota, Metazoa, Chordata, Mammalia, Artiodactyla, Balaenopteridae. The transcript is spliced from 3 exons.